This 253-nucleotide unclassified non-coding RNA is filed under the name uncultured Caryophanales bacterium. RNAcentral describes it as "uncultured Bacillales bacterium contains 16S-23S intergenic spacer region". It matches the Rfam family "Bacterial small subunit ribosomal RNA", at positions 524 to 776 of the family's 1533-position model. The record is from RNAcentral. Lineage: Bacteria; Bacillati; Bacillota; Bacilli; Caryophanales.
UACGGAGGGGGUUAGCGUUGUCCGGAAUUAUUGGGCGUAAAGCGCGCGCAGGCGGUCCCUUAAGUCUGAUGUGAAAGCCCACGGCUCAACCGUGGAGGGUCAUUGGAAGCUGGGGGGCUUGAGUGCAGAAGAGGAAAGUGGAAUUCCAGGUGUAGCGGUGAAAUGCGUAGAGAUGUGGAGGAACACCAGUGGCGAAGGCUACCUCCUGGCCCAUUCCUGACACUUAGACGCGAAAGCUAGGGUAGCAAACGGG